AUUGGUUUAGAUCACGUUUAGAUGGCAUUUACGUCGAUCUAAACGUUUAGGAAUCUAAUCUAAACGUGUUCUGAAUAUUUAAUUUGCGUUGAAAAGCUAAAUCAAACAAUUUCCGUACGGAACUAACUAAAUUAAAUUAGUUUCUUACAAAAUGUGUCGGACAUUUUGAAUCUUUCAUUAUGAUUAAAAAUUAGAGUUUCUUAUUAAUCUUAAAUUAUGUAAUAAAGGUUUAGAAAAAAUAAAAGAAAUUUGUUUUUAGUAUUAUAUUGUGGCUAAUGAAGGAGUUAAAAAGUCCUUCCAGUCAGUUGCAACAACAAUUAAAGCAGCAGGAAACAGCCAAGUACACAUGCAAGUGAUUGUUAUGAGGAUUGCAAAACUUUUAAAUAUCAGAAACUGAAGAAAGCAUUCAUAAUCAGCAGAUAUCAAAAAAGCGCAAAAGUACUGAUUUUACAACUCUUUUAAAGUUGAGGAAGAAUUUUAUGUUAAUGUUAAUGCAAAAGGUACGAAUAUUGACAGGUUAGCUAAUUUGAUGUAACAAUAAACAUGAAAUAAAGUUUGUGAAGACCUUAGUGCCAAAAAUACUUGCAUGCAUUAUUCAUGCAUGCUGUAUUAUAAUAUAGCAUGCAUGCAUGAUGCAUUUAAGUAUAAAAAAAAGUUACAAAUGUUUAAUUAUACAAAAAGAUUAUGGAUGUGGUACUGCAAGUAUAUUCAAUUGAUUAUGCAAUUAAACCAUCACCACUUCCACAGCAACCUUGUCUCAAGCAUUAAAUCGUAUUCUAAGAUAUCUUUAUUCAAAUUAAGUGUGACUACUUUACCAAAAGACUCUAGAAUGGACCAAUCAACUAACCCAUCAGUACUUGCAAAGUCUCUUUUUCUGUAAGCCCAAAAAUUGAGUUCUAAAAUACCAUUAUCCACAUAACUACUUUAUCAAAGUACAAUCUAAUGGAUUGAUCAAAAAAGAGAUUGUAUGACUUCGGUAUCCGCAAUACGGUAUCGUGCAUUGAUUUCCAUCUUAGAAUGGCUCUCUUCCGUAUAGGUGGAAAUAGGAUAGGUUGUGUCCUUUUUUCUAAUUCUUAAGACGAAGAGGCUUAAUCGGUUCAAACAAAGAUGACGAUGAUCAUUAUGGAGCCGAUCAUGAUGACGAAUACGAUAAUGCAUAUAAUAAUAAAUAAAAUGUUUUUACUUGUAUCUUAGACUUAUAAAAAUAAAAAAUUAUUUGUUUAA
This is a non-coding RNA of Hydra vulgaris (swiftwater hydra), 1224 nucleotides long. NCBI's taxonomy places the organism in Eukaryota, Metazoa, Cnidaria, Hydrozoa, Anthoathecata, Hydridae. The record is from RefSeq and is a predicted model, not a curated record.